AGUGAACGCUGGCGGUAGGCCUAACACAUGCAAGUCGAACGGCAGCACAGUAAGAGCUUGCUCUUACGGGUGGCGAGUGGCGGACGGGUGAGGAAUACAUCGGAAUCUACUUUUUCGUGGGGGUUAACGUAGGGAAACUUACGCUAAUACCGCAUACGACCUACGGGUGAAAGCAGGGGAUCUUCUGACCUUGCGCGAUUGGAUGAGCCGAUGUCGGAUUAGCUAGUUGGCGGGGUAAAGGCCCACCAAGGCGAGGAUCGGUAGCUGGUCUGAGAGGAUGAUCAGCCACACUGGAACUGAGACACGGUCCAGACUCCUACGGGAGGCCGCAGUGGGGAAUAUUGGACAAUGGGCGCAAGCCUGAUCCAGCCAUACCGCGUGGGUGAAGAAGGCCUUCGGGUUGUAAAGCCCUUUUGUUGGGAAAGAAAAGCAGCGGGUUAAUACCCCGCUGUUCUGACGGUACCCAAAGAAUAAGCACCGGCUAACUUCGUG
This 492-nucleotide ribosomal RNA is filed under the name uncultured bacterium. Its description in RNAcentral is "partial 16S ribosomal RNA". It matches the Rfam family "Bacterial small subunit ribosomal RNA", at positions 29 to 507 of the family's 1533-position model. The record is from RNAcentral.